Long non-coding RNA from Anas platyrhynchos (mallard), 1234 nucleotides. RefSeq lists it as uncharacterized. Lineage: Eukaryota; Metazoa; Chordata; Aves; Anseriformes; Anatidae. The record is from RefSeq and is a predicted model, not a curated record.
GCAUGAUGUUGGAGGUGAGAAGGCUACUACUGAAGGCAUCCUUGGGGAUGAUCUUUUGUAUUCUCUGAGGAAAAGAAAGACUUCCAGUGAGAGGAAACAAAAGACCUGAACAGCAGGAAUAUUUUGGGAUUGGAGCCAAGGAAAAGACAGUUCUUACCAACUAUACCACAACAGAGGCACAAAAACAGCCAAACAGAUGGCCACUACAUCUACGUGGCACCAGAUAGAUGCUCCUCAGACCAAGCUUCAAACAACAGCUGAGAGACCACAUUUACAUAGACAACAGGAUAUGGGUGAAUUUGUCCUAUUUUUUUCAGCAGUUUCUGAAGGUUGAGUUUAUUCAGUUGACUGAGAAUGUUCAAAUGUUCCUGUCCUACAUUAGUAGAGGUACUAUGUUGUGCAGCUUUGUAGUAUUAAGUCUAAAUCCAUUUGUGUGAAGGAUAGAUAGAAGACAAAAUACAAUUUCAUUCUUUUAAUUCGGUGGAGAAAAAUUGUUACUGACAUGGAGAAAAACAUAAGAAAAAUGAAUUCAUGGGAAGCCAUUUUUACUUAAGCACCAUGUGGGCAAUUCUUUUUUCACUACUUCAGAGCCCUGUGAGGAAGUCAACAUGCACCAACAUUUAAUAUACAAUUUGUGAACUAUUAACAUUUAAUUUAAUAUUAUUCAGUAUAAAUUCAUUUCAUAUCAACAGUAAUGAGUGUUUUUUUUUCAGAUUCUGGCAGUAUUUGUUCUUCACUGUACACUCACUGUAGACUGAUUGACAGUUUCAAACUAAAUACCAGUAGCCCAAAAUAAUGUACUCCUACUCUCAGCUUGUGCUUGAAUAUUCAAAUCUGCAGAUGUAGGAGUGAAACAGAAGACAUAGAAGUGGGAAAAAAAAAAAGAAUAUGCACCGAGAUUCCAGGUGUUGAAUGUUUGACAUUGGCUCACUUCAAGGAAUAUUUGUUUCUUCAAAAAUUGGACCCUGUUACCUUUCCCAUAGAAAAGUUUCAGAUCUUGCAAAAACUUGUUUAAUAAUAAUUCCUAUAGAGUGAAGCAAUGAACUACUGAGGUAAGAAGCUUUUCUUACCCAUUUCAGCAUUGCUGUAUUAAAUCCUGAAUAUGCAUUUUGAAAAGAUUUAUAUAAAAAAAUAAAUUUUGAUUCUUAAAAUCAGAAAGCUCUGUGAGGCUGGUGUCUUCAAUGUGAGCUUUUAGACCAGAACUAAAUCAGCAAGAUUCUUUGUGCAUAUACCU